UCCCCUAGUAACUGCGAGUGAAGCGGGAAAAGCUCAAAUUUAAAAUCUGGCAGUCUUUGGCUGUCCGAGUUGUAAUCUAGAGAAGUGUUAUCCGCGCUGGACCGUGUACAAGUCUCCUGGAAUGGAGCGUCAUAGAGGGUGAGAAUCCCGUCUUUGACACGGACUACCAGGGCUUUGUGAUGCGCUCUCAAAGAGUCGAGUUGUUUGGGAAUGCAGCUCAAAAUGGGUGGUAAAUUCCAUCUAAAGCUAAAUAUUGGCGAGAGACCGAUAGCGAACAAGUACCGUGAGGGAAAGAUGAAAAGAACUUUGGAAAGAGAGUUAAACAGUACGUGAAAUUGCUGAAAGGGAAACGCUUGAAGUCAGUCGCGUUGUCCAGGGAUCAACCUUGCUUUUGCUUGGUGCACUUCCUGGUUGACGGGUCAGCAUCAAUUUUGACUAUUGGAAAAAGAUUAAGGGAAUGUGGCAUCUUUGGAUGUGUUAUAGCCCUUGGUUGCAUACAAUGGUUGGGAUUGAGGAACUCAGCACGCCGCAAGGCCGGGUUUUUAACCACGUACGUGCUUAGGAUGCUGGCAUAAUGGCUUUAAUCGACCCGUCUUGAAACACGGACCAAGGAGUCUAACAUGCCUGCGAGUGUUUGGGUGGAAAACCCGAGCGCGCAAUGAAAGUGAAAGUUGAGAUCCCUGUCGUGGGGAGCAUCGACGCCCGGACCAGACCUUUUGUGACGGUUCCGCGGUAGAGCAUGUAUGUUGGGACCCGAAAGAUGGUGAACUAUGCCUGAAUAGGGUGAAGCCAGAGGAAACUCUGGUGGAGGCUCGUAGCGAUUCUGACGUGCAAAUCGAUCGUCAAAUUUGGGUAUAGGGGCGAAAGAC
RNAcentral lists this ribosomal RNA (869 nucleotides) under Dermocybe kula. RNAcentral describes it as "partial 28S ribosomal RNA". It matches the Rfam family "Eukaryotic large subunit ribosomal RNA", at positions 76 to 931 of the family's 3401-position model. The record is from RNAcentral. Lineage: Eukaryota; Fungi; Basidiomycota; Agaricomycetes; Agaricales; Cortinariaceae.